UUCAAUUUGGUUGUCAUCUCAUUAUUUCUGAUCAAGUUGUUUUCUUUCUGAAUCUUCCUUUAGGCAUCGAAAUCGUGUGCUUUAUGGUCUCAUGUUCUGAAAAAUUGCAGUCUUGGUCUUAAGCAUAGAGUUUCAAACCAAAUGCAGCAUAUGGCUUAAUGUUAUGAAAGAAGCAGGAAGAUUCCUCCUUUUGACUUACUGGAAGGAUAUGCACUGAGCAUCAAGGGAAGAGCAUUAGAAAGGGGUACGGUUGAAGGAGCUUUUGGUCUCUUCUGCAUCUGCAGAGAUACUGUGUGCACUUUAUCAAAAUAAACUUAGCUCAUCAAAACGCAGUUUUCAAAAGGCUUCCUAAAACUGAUGCAUCUACCUUUUGAAGUCGUAUAAGGAGGAUUGAGAGGUUUAGGGUCGAAGAGAUAGAGACAAAGAGACAGAAAUCGGGUGUGUUUCUUUGCUUUGCACGAAGAGAUAGAGAAAGAUCAGAGGCAAGUUCUCACCUCAUCAUCUGAAAUCGGAGGUGUUUAAUUCAGAAAUUGGAGGUGUUUUUGGAGUAAUAGAAGGGACUGUGGUGUUCUGAAUUGUGGCUUUGGUGGGUUUGGCGAGAGUGAGGAUCGCAGACACUGCAUUAGGCCAUGCUUU
Long non-coding RNA from Rosa rugosa (rugosa rose), 636 nucleotides. RefSeq lists it as uncharacterized. NCBI's taxonomy places the organism in Eukaryota, Viridiplantae, Streptophyta, Magnoliopsida, Rosales, Rosaceae. The record is from RefSeq and is a predicted model, not a curated record. The transcript has 6 exons.